This 234-nucleotide ribosomal RNA is filed under the name uncultured bacterium. RNAcentral describes it as "partial 16S ribosomal RNA". It matches the Rfam family "Bacterial small subunit ribosomal RNA", at positions 524 to 756 of the family's 1533-position model. The record is from RNAcentral.
UACGUAGGGCGCAAGCGUUGUCCGGAAUUAUUGGGCGUAAAGAGCUCGUAGGCGGCCUGUUACGUCUGCUGUGAAAUCCCGGGGCUUAACCCCGGGCGUGCAGUGGAUACGGGCAGGCUGGAGGCAGGCAGGGGAGAACGGAAUUCCCGGUGUAGCGGUGAAAUGCGCAGAGUAUCGGGAGGAACACCGGUGGCGAAGGCGGUUCUCUGGGCCUGUACUGACGCUGAGGAGCGA